RNAcentral lists this ribosomal RNA (460 nucleotides) under uncultured bacterium. RNAcentral's name for it is "partial 16S ribosomal RNA". It matches the Rfam family "Bacterial small subunit ribosomal RNA", at positions 338 to 795 of the family's 1533-position model. The record is from RNAcentral.
CCUACGGGAGGCUGCAGUGAGGAAUAUUGGUCAAUGGACGAGAGUCUGAACCAGCCAAGCCGCGUGAAGGAAGACUGCCCUAUGGGUUUUCAACCUCUUUUAUAUGGGAAUAAAAUGUUCCACGUGUGGGAUUUUGUAUGUCCCAUAUGAAUCAGGAUCCGCUAACUCCGCGCCAGCAGCCGCGGUAAUACGGAGGGUCCGAGCGUUAUCCGGAUUUAUUGGGUUUAACGGGCGCGUAGGUGGAUUUGUAAGUCAGUUGUGAAAGUUUGCGGCUCAACCGUAAAAGUGCAGUUGAAACUGGCAGUCUUGAGUACAGUAGAGGUAGGCGGAAUUCGUGGUGUAGCGGUGAAAUGCUUAGAUAUCACGAAGAACUCCGAUUGCGAAGGCAGUUCACUGGACUGCAACUGACACUGAGGCUCGAAAGUGUGGGGAUCAAACAGGAUUAGAUACCCGAGUAGUC